This 441-nucleotide ribosomal RNA is filed under the name uncultured bacterium. RNAcentral's name for it is "partial 16S ribosomal RNA". It matches the Rfam family "Bacterial small subunit ribosomal RNA", at positions 338 to 795 of the family's 1533-position model. The record is from RNAcentral.
CCUACGGGAGGCAGCAGUGGGGAAUAUUGCACAAUGGGGGAAACCCUGAUGCAGCGACGCCGCGUGAGUGAAGAAGUCCUUCCGUAUGUAAAGCUCUAUCAGCAGGGAAGAAGAGAGACGGUAGCUUACUACAAAGCGCCUGCUCAAUAAGGGACAGCAGGCGCGGUCAUUCGGAGGAGGCAAGCGGUAUCGGGAUUUACUGGGUGUAAAGGGAGCGUAUACGGCUGUGGAAGGCUGAGGGGGAAGCCCAGGGCCUAACCCUGGGACUGCUGUUGAAACUACAGAGCUAGAGUGCGGGAGAGGUAAGUGGAAUGCGUAGUGUAGCGGUGAAAUGCGUAGAUAUUAGGAAGAACACCGGUGGCGAAGGCGGCUUACUGGAGAGUAACUGACGUUGAGGCACGAAAGCGUGGGGAGCAAACAGGAUUAGAUACCCGAGUAGUC